RNAcentral lists this ribosomal RNA (540 nucleotides) under uncultured bacterium. Its description in RNAcentral is "bacterial SSU rRNA". It matches the Rfam family "Bacterial small subunit ribosomal RNA", at positions 8 to 526 of the family's 1533-position model. The record is from RNAcentral.
AGAGUUUGAUCCUGGCUCAGAACGAACGCUGGCGGCGUGGAUAAGACAUGCAAGUCGAACGAGAUUUUUCGUUGUAGCAAUACGAUGGAAAGUUUAGUGGCGAACGGGUGCUUAACACGUGGGCAACCUGCCGUGAAGUGGGGGAUAGCUCGCCGAAAGGCGAAUUAAUACCGCAUGUGAUUAGAGAGGACAUCCUUUCGAAAUUAAAGUCGGGGCAACCUGACGCUUCUUGUGGGGCCCGCGGCCUAUCAGCUAGUUGGUGAGGUAACGGCUCACCAAGGCUUUGACGGGUAGCUGGUCUGAGAGGACGACCAGCCACACUGGGACUGAGACACGGCCCAGACACCUACGGGUGGCAGCAGUCGAGAAUUUUUGACAAUGGGGGAAACCCUGAUCGAGCGACGCCGCGUGGAGGAUGAAGGUCUUCGGAUUGUAAACUCCUGUCAUUGGGGAACAAGGUGCAUACGUUAACUGCGUGUGCAUUGAUAGUACCCGAAGAGGAAGAGACGGCUAACUCUGUGCCAGCAGCCGCGGUAAUAC